Molecule: non-coding RNA, 30 nt
Filed under: Rattus norvegicus (Norway rat)
Lineage: Eukaryota; Metazoa; Chordata; Mammalia; Rodentia; Muridae
Source: RNAcentral
CCGUUUUACACAAGGUUUUGAUGAAGGUUU